RNAcentral lists this ribosomal RNA (444 nucleotides) under uncultured bacterium. RNAcentral's name for it is "partial 16S ribosomal RNA". It matches the Rfam family "Bacterial small subunit ribosomal RNA", at positions 338 to 795 of the family's 1533-position model. The record is from RNAcentral.
CCUACGGGUGGCUGCAGUGGGGAAUAUUGCACAAUGGGCGCAAGCCUGAUGCAGCCAUGCCGCGUGUGUGAAGAAGGCCUUCGGGUUGUAAAGCACUUUCAGCGGGGAGGAAGGCGGUGAGGUUAAUAACCUCAUCGAUUGACGUUACCCGCAGAAGAAGCACCGGCUAACUCCGUGCCAGCAGCCGCGGUAAUACGGAGGGUGCAAGCGUUAGCCGGAAUUACCGGGCUGUCAGCGCAGGCGGGCGGUCCCCGGGCUCAACCUGGGAACUGCAUUCGAAACUGGCAGGCUAGAGUCUUGUAGAGGGGGGUAGAAUUCCAGGUGUAGCGGUGAAAUGCGUAGAGAUCUGGAGGAAUACCGGUGGCGAAGGCGGCCCCCUGGACAAAGACUGACGCUCAGGUGCGAAAGCGUGGGGAGCAAACAGGAUUAGAUACCCGAGUAGUC